RNAcentral lists this ribosomal RNA (429 nucleotides) under Gemmatimonadota bacterium. RNAcentral's name for it is "Gemmatimonadetes bacterium partial 16S ribosomal RNA". It matches the Rfam family "Bacterial small subunit ribosomal RNA", at positions 355 to 776 of the family's 1533-position model. The record is from RNAcentral. Lineage: Bacteria; Pseudomonadati; Gemmatimonadota.
UAGGGAAUCUUCGGUAAUGGACGAAAGUCUGACCGAGCAACGCCGCGCGAGUGAAGAAGGACUUUGGAUCGUAAAACUCUGUUGUUAGAGAAGAACAAGGACGUUAGUAACUGAACGUGCCUGGACGGUACCUAACCAGAAAGCCACGGCUAACUCCGUGCCAGCAGCCGCGGUAAAACGAAGGUGGCAAGCGUAGCCCGGAUUUAUUGGACGUAAAGCGAGCGCAGGCGGUUUCUUAAGUCUGAUGUGAAAGCCCCCGGCUCAAUCGGGGAGGGUCAUUGGAAACUGUGUGACUUGAUUGCAGAAGAGGUAGGUGAAAUUCCAUGUGUAGCGAUGAAUUACGUAGAUAUAUGGAGGACCACCAGUAGCGAAGGCGGCUCUCUGGUCUGUAACUGAGGCUGAGGCUCGAAAGCGUGGGGAGCAAACAGA